UACGUAGGCAGCGAGCGUUGUUCGGAAUUACUGGGCGUAAAGAGUGUGUAGGCGGUGCUCUAAGUUCGGUGUGAAAUCUCUCGGCUUAACUGGGAGGGUGCGCCGGAAACUGGAGUGCUCGAACGUGGGAGAGGAAAGCGGAAUUCCUGGUGUAGCGGUGAAAUGCGUAGAUAUCAGGAGGAACACCUGCGGUGAAGACGGCUUUCUGGACCAUUGUUGACGCUGAGACACGAAAGCGUGGGUAGCAAACAGG
This 253-nucleotide ribosomal RNA is filed under the name uncultured bacterium. Its description in RNAcentral is "partial 16S ribosomal RNA". It matches the Rfam family "Bacterial small subunit ribosomal RNA", at positions 524 to 776 of the family's 1533-position model. The record is from RNAcentral.